RNAcentral lists this ribosomal RNA (475 nucleotides) under uncultured bacterium. RNAcentral describes it as "bacterial SSU rRNA". It matches the Rfam family "Bacterial small subunit ribosomal RNA", at positions 104 to 620 of the family's 1533-position model. The record is from RNAcentral.
GGGUGAGUAACACGUGGGUAACCUACCCUUGGAAGGGGGAUAACACGAGGAAACUGGUGCUAAUACCGCAUAAGUCUAGUUGAUAAGGGAAAGGCGACCGAGGAGGGGCCCGCGUCCGAUUAGCUAGUUGGUGAAGUAAAGGUUCACCAAGGCGACAAUCGGUAGCCGGUCUGAGAGGACGGACGGCCACACUGGGACUGAGACACGGCCCAGACUCCUACGGGAGGCAGCAGUGGGGAAUUUUGCGCAAUGGGGGAAACCCUGACGCAGCAACGCCGCGUGAAGGAAGAAGGCUUUCGAGUCGUAAACUUCUGUUUCGGGGGACGACGGUACCCCGGCAGCAAGCCCCGGCUAACUCCGUGCCAGCAGCCGCGGUAAUACGGGGGGGGCGAGCGUUGUUCGGAAUUACUGGGCGUAAAGGGCGCGUAGGCGGUUGGAGAAGUUUCAGGUGAAAGCCCCGGGCUCAGCCCGGGAA